Molecule: unclassified non-coding RNA, 260 nt
Filed under: soil metagenome
Description: partial internal transcribed spacer 1
Source: RNAcentral
CCAAUUUAUAUGUUAGUUUGCCUGUGGCUUCGGUCACUGGUAUUAACUACUAUGUAAACGUUGAACUAGAUCAAUUGGUGUGGAUUGCUUGGGAAUGGACGAAGCGAUGAGCCUCUUCCGGACAGGCAAGCCCCACACUGAUAACCUUUUUCAUAUCAUUUACUCGUAUAUACUACCACAACAACAAAAAACAAAAGCUAUAAUAGGACUUAUUAACGGCUGAGCGGGGUAACAUCCUCGGCUUAAACAUAUAACUAUUA